CUCUUAGUUGGUACCAAUGGUGGACCCGAUGCACUCCAAAUCCUACACGCGAAGGGUUCAAAUUGGCAGUGGUUAGAAGAUUUCAACCUUCUAUGGUACAGAACCCCUUUGAGCAACAUUUGGCUUUGAAACAAUUAGGCACGGUGGAAGAGUAUGUGGAGGAGUUCGAGAAAUAUGUGGUAGCCUUUGAUCAAAAAUUUGUAAGGGGUAUUUUCUUGAAUGACCUCAAGGAAGAGAUCAAAGCGGAAGUUAAGUUGCAUGAGCACCAUACACUCUUGGAGGGUGGACAAGAAGGCUGCAUAUUCUUCGGUUGGAAGUGGACCCACAACCUCGAGUCAAAUGCAGGCUACAUACAAUAACUGAAGCAGAAGAGGAGAGUUCAGACACUUAAAUAGGGCUGAAAUGAGGGAGAAAUGGUUGUGUUUCUAUUGUGAAGAACCCUAUACUAGAGAGCACAAAUGUAAAAAUAAGCAAUUCCAAAUGGUCAUAUUGGAGGAGGAGGAAGAACAAAAUAAUGAUGAAUCGCUGUUGUGAAAUUUACAUUCUUUGCAAUUAUUCUUGUGUUCCAUGGCUGGACUAACUUCAACUAAGUCCUGGAAGAUAGAAGGUAUGUUGAGAUAUGGAACAGUAAUCUUAUUGAUUGAUUGUGGAGUUUCUCACAAUUUCGUUGCUUCAGAUUUAAUACUCAAUAUGAAGUUGGAAGUGCUGCUGGAUAAACCCUCAUAUGUAGUGGAGGUGGGUGAUGGACAUAAGGGGUACAGCAGGA
Molecule: long non-coding RNA, 766 nt
Filed under: Lupinus mutabilis
Lineage: Eukaryota; Viridiplantae; Streptophyta; Magnoliopsida; Fabales; Fabaceae
Description: partial ncRNA
Source: RNAcentral